CAUUUCUUUAAGAAAGUAAGAUCCCUGAGAGAUGAUCAGGUAGAUAGGUCAGAAGUGGAAGGCCAGUGAUGGUUGGAGCGGACUGAUACUAAUCGAUCGA
Molecule: non-coding RNA, 100 nt
Organism: Enterococcus sp. HSIEG1
Lineage: Bacteria; Bacillati; Bacillota; Bacilli; Lactobacillales; Enterococcaceae
Source: Rfam